This 24-nucleotide microRNA is filed under the name Prunus persica (peach). RNAcentral describes it as "microRNA miRNA_34". Lineage: Eukaryota; Viridiplantae; Streptophyta; Magnoliopsida; Rosales; Rosaceae. The record is from RNAcentral.
AGAAAUUAACAUGUCUUAAGGGUG